Molecule: ribosomal RNA, 104 nt
Filed under: uncultured bacterium
Lineage: Bacteria
Description: partial 16S ribosomal RNA
Source: RNAcentral
UGUCACUCAUUCUUCGAUAAUUUCCAAGGUUUACAACCCGAAGGCCUUCAUCCCUCACGCGAUGUCGCUCCAUCAGACUUUCGUCCAUUGUGGAAGAUUCUCAG